GACGAACGCUGGCGGCGUGCUUAACACAUGCAAGUCGAACGGAAAGGCCCUGCUUUUGUUGGGUGCUCGAGUGGCGAACGGGUGAGUAACACGUGAGUAACCUGCCCUUGACUUUGGGAUAACUUCAGGAAACUGGGGCUAAUACCGGAUAUGAGCUCCUGCUGCAUGGUGGGGGUUGGAAAGGUUCGGCGGUUUGGGAUGGACUCGCGGGUUAUCAGCUUGUUGGUGGGGUAGUGGCUUACCAAGGCUUUGCUGGGUAGCCGGCCUGAGAGGGUGACCGGCAACAUUGGGACUGAGAUACGGCCCAGACUCCAACGGGAGGCAGCAGUGGGGAAUAUUGCACAAUGGGCGGAAGCCUGAUGCAGCAACGCCGCGUGCGGGAUGACGGCCUUCGGGUUGAAACCCGCUUCCGCCUGUGACGAAGCGUGAGUGACGGUAAUUGGUAAAGAAGCACCGGCUAACUACGUG
Molecule: ribosomal RNA, 468 nt
Filed under: uncultured bacterium
Lineage: Bacteria
Description: partial 16S ribosomal RNA
Rfam family: Bacterial small subunit ribosomal RNA
Source: RNAcentral